UACGUAGGUGACCAGCGUUGUCCGGAUUUACUGGGCGUAAAGAGCGCGCAGGCGGUCGUUCAAGUCGAGUGUGAAAGCCCCCGGCUCAACUGGGGAGGGUCACUCGAUACUGAUCGACUUGAAGGCAGGAGAGGGAAGCGGAAUUCCCGGUGUAGUGGUGAAAUGCGUAGAUACCGGGAGGAACACCAGUGGCGAAGGCGGCUUCCUGGCCUGUUCUUGACGCUGAGGCGCGAAAGCUAGGGGAGCAAACGGG
This 253-nucleotide ribosomal RNA is filed under the name uncultured bacterium. Its description in RNAcentral is "partial 16S ribosomal RNA". It matches the Rfam family "Bacterial small subunit ribosomal RNA", at positions 524 to 776 of the family's 1533-position model. The record is from RNAcentral.